UACGUAGGGCGCAAGCGUUGUCCGGAAUUAUUGGGCGUAAAGAGCUCGUAGGCGGCCUGUUGCGUCCGCUGUGAAAUCCCGGGGCUCAACCCCGGGCCUGCAGUGGAUACGGGCUGGCUAGAGGCAGGCAGGGGAGAACGGAAUUCCUGGUGUAGCGGUGAAAUGCGCAGAUAUCAGGAGGAACACCGGUGGCGAAGGCGGCUCUCUGGGCCUGUACUGACGCUGAGGAGCGAAAGCGUGGGGAGCAAACAGG
RNAcentral lists this ribosomal RNA (253 nucleotides) under uncultured bacterium. RNAcentral describes it as "partial 16S ribosomal RNA". It matches the Rfam family "Bacterial small subunit ribosomal RNA", at positions 524 to 776 of the family's 1533-position model. The record is from RNAcentral.